GUCUACAACUAUAACAUCAUGGACAAACCCAAUCUCAUCUGAUUUCAGAAGCUAAGCAGGAUUGAGUCUGGUUAAUAUGUGAAUGAGAGACUGCCUGGGAAUAUCAAGAACCGUAGGUU
This 119-nucleotide ribosomal RNA is filed under the name Monodelphis domestica (gray short-tailed opossum). Lineage: Eukaryota; Metazoa; Chordata; Mammalia; Didelphimorphia; Didelphidae. The record is from RNAcentral.